RNAcentral lists this long non-coding RNA (2607 nucleotides) under Manihot esculenta (cassava). RNAcentral describes it as "long non-coding RNA (MESC_LNC010745)". Lineage: Eukaryota; Viridiplantae; Streptophyta; Magnoliopsida; Malpighiales; Euphorbiaceae. The record is from RNAcentral.
UUGUAAGCUGACCGUUUACUCUGUUAAAUAGUGAGGUUAAUCACUAGAGAAGCUAGACCGUGUGGUUACUCAAAUUGGGUUGACGGAUCAUCUAUUUCUCUUUCUUGGUUGCGCUAUUGGUCGAUCGAAGCAAAAAAUUUGUUGCCUUCCUCAUAUUUUCUAUGUAAAUCAAGCUUCUAAUCAUCAAGGUAUUCUCUGGUUUAUGCUUUUUUGAUCCAUAUGCAUAUUGGGUUUUCUCUCUUUCUCAUUUGAUAGCUUCGAUUUGUGAAAUCCACUUCUGAGCUGAUAUUCAAUGUUAGUUUGAAAAUGAUUCUUUCCUUUGGAAGAGAGGUGAACUUGGGCUCAAUGAUCAAUUGUGUUUCAGCUUAGAAAAUUGUGAACUUAGGCUCAAUCACCUAUAGCAUUUAGAAAAGAAGGUAUAUAAAAACGCAAUUUAGGAAAAAAAAAAAAGGAAGUUUAAAAAGGGGUUCCUAAGAUGCAUUUGCUGGUUUGGAAGAGGUAGAUUUUCCUUGUCGUGUAAAUGGGUGAACUCGAGUCUUAUAUAAUUAGGGGUAUUUAAAAAUGACCCAUAAUUUGCUUCAAUUUAUCCGUAGUUAAACUGAAAUUAUACAAGUGUUGAUAGAUUGGGUUGGGUUAUUAUUAUUUUUUCAGAUUGAAUUAUAUGUUUCUUAGUUAAAUCAAUAAUUUGACUCAAACCAAUUCUCAUUAUUCUCUGAUAAUGCUCUUACUCCUUUGCUUUUGUUUUAAUUUUAAUUACCCAAUUAAUGCUUCUCCAGCUUUUAAAAAAAAAUAUACAUCUAAUUGCUUUAGUAGCGAUCAUUUUAUUACUAGCUUGGCUUGAUGCAGCCAUUGAAAGCAUAUUACUCACUUGGUAGACUUAAGGUUGAGUUUCCACUCCAUUUAAUACCUUACACAAUCUUUUUUUUUUUUUAAGAAAAAAACACAACGAAUUUAUAUAUGGAAGAUUUACAAUUUAGUCUCUAGAUAUUGACAUUAUUAACAAGUCAGUCUUUACAUUUUUUAAAAUCUAUUAAAAUAUUCUCUGUCUUUUCUCUCCAUCAACGAAAUAGUCCUUCUGUCUAUUUCUGAUGUUAAAAAUAUAGCAAAAUAUCAAAUUAUCCCCCUUCUUCUCGUCCUCCUUCUUCUUCUCCUUCUAGGGACCAGGGACUAUUUUUGUUGACGCGGCGAAAUGAUAAAAACGUUUUAAUUGAUCAGGAAAAAGAUAAGGACGUUUUAUUAGAUUUCUGAAAAUGUAGGGACUAACUUGUUAAUAAUCACAAUACUCAAAGACUAAAUCAGAGAUUUUAUUUGAAAGCAAAAUUGGGUUUUAAAAUUUUUUUCUCUCAUCUUUCAUUUAUUUUUAAUGAAAAAGAGGACGGAAAAACUAUUUUAUUGACGGAGAGAAAAUAUAAGGACGUUUUAAUGGGUUUCUGAAAAUGCAGAGACUGAUUUGUUAAUAAUAAAACCGCGAUCACAGCCGCGGUCGGGGAUAACGGAAACAGGCCUGGCGCUACGCAAAUUUUUCAAAUCAAUUUGCAAAGUUCAUAAAAUGAUAUGAUAUCAAUAGAUUUAAUUCAGAACAAUGUAUACAAAUAUAUAAUAAACAUAAAUAUAUCAAAUAUAUACUAUUUAGCUUAAAUUAAAUACCAUAUGGGAAAUUACCAACCUCACUACCACCAAAAAGAACGUUGUGCAGGUUCUUGUUGGUCUUGACUUUGGCUUUCUGAACUUUGAUCAUUAAGGUGAUGCUGCUGAUGUUGAUAGUAUUGUUGUGGAUCAAAACUGAAUAAGGAACCACCACCCAUAAUAUCAUUAGGAUCACCAUAAGUUGGUUGAGGGUACGAUGAAGCUGACUUUGCUCCUGAUAAGGGGUAAUAUGAAUAUGUAAGAGGAUAAUUUGUUGGAUAUGGCACCCCUCUAAAUUGGCCAUAGAGCCCAUAAUUUGAUGAAGUAUCUUCAGAUGAUGAGCUACCACUUAGUCCACCACCAUACAUAAAAUUUGGAUUAUACGUGCAAAAGUCGUAUCCAUAAUUUAAUGAAUCAAUUGACCCCUCAUAUGCAACACCCUUACCCCAUGUUUGGGAUGUUUCAGCACCACCAGUACAAUUAUGAGAGCCUCGUGAUUUUUGAUAUGUACACAUCGGAAAUGGAUCAGAAGCAAUUCUAAUUCCACUUUGUCUUUGAGUAGGUGGAUCUUGUGAACUACGACUACCACCUCCUUCAACUGUUGUUCCUCUUCCACCUUGAUCACCACCACCAUCAUCAUCAUCACCAGCACCACCUUGUUGUCCUUGAGUUUGAGUGGCAGAUUCAGACUGUGAUGGAGCAUUUUUAUCAAUACCCACCUCUUCACCAUCCAACCAUGGAUUUGGUUGCCCAUCAAGCAAUAGAGAUUCACUUUCCUCCAACCAAGAGUUUAGCGGAUCAUCUUUGUAGAAAAAUAAUAUUUUGUUGUUAUAUUUCACAAUAGAGAUUACAACCUAUUUAUACAUGAGAGAUGAUAUCUAAACAGUAAGGAAAAUCAAGUCUAUGAUUAUACAAUUCUAAGAUUAAGCAACUGAUCCAUCUAUCAAUAUUUAGGUCCUAUAUUAACAUAUUUACUUCCUA